CGACAGAAAGUAAAAAUGCGAAUAAUCUGAAAACACACAUAAUUCGAAAUGUUUAUUUUAUUUUUACAAUUCUGUCGUAUUAUAUUUCUACUCAAUUGAUAAUUUGCUCCGGUGAAUUUUUGAAUCCUUUCCCUUCGUUAGUUAGAAUCGAUUGGAUGCAGGGAAUCGAUUCUGUGAUAAAGUCAUGUAAGUUCCAACGACUGAUUUUAUUAUUAAAAAUAUUUUCUAUAUACGCUCUGAAAUUGACACAGAAUGGAAACUUAAGUGUUUUAAUUAAUCGAUUGGAAUCGUUCUUGUUGGAAUUCGAUUGGAAGCAGAAAAUCGAUUAUGUGAUGACGUCAUGUCAGUUCGUAACGAUCUGAUUUUAUUUGUUAUUAAAAAUAUUUUCUAUAUACGCUCUGAAAUUGACACAGAAUGGAAACUUCAAUGUUUAAUUAAGUUCGAUCAAUUGGAAUCGAAUAAUCGAUUAAGUGUUUUAAUUAAUCGAUUGGAAUCAGAAAAUCGAUUAUGUGAUCCAAUUAAUCGAUUCUGGUAUUAUUGUUGUUGGAAUUCGAUUGGAUGCAGAGAAUCGAUUCUGUGACGACGUCAUGUGAGUUCGCAACGAUCUGAUUUUGUUUGUUAUUAAAAAUAUUUUUUGUAUACGCUUCGAAGUUGACACAGAAUGGUCACUUCAAUGUUUAAAUUAAUGUAAAAAUACAUGCUAUAAAAAAUUUUUUCUGACUGCG
This 725-nucleotide long non-coding RNA is filed under the name Androctonus crassicauda. Lineage: Eukaryota; Metazoa; Arthropoda; Arachnida; Scorpiones; Buthidae. The record is from RNAcentral.